AUAUAUGUGGGUAGAUUUUUUUUUUAAUUUGCUUCUUUCUAUUUACAAACAUGUAUUGAUAAGGAGAGAGAAAAGCCUGUUUCUGUGGAAAUGAGGAUUCCAUCUCUUGGUUUUCCCUUGUGCUGAAGAAAAUGUCCCUGCAUUUCCUGAUGAUCCCCCUCUAGUGGAGAGCCCGCAGUCUGCAUAUAAAGCCUGUUAUAAAAAGACUAUUAAAAUUGCUGAAACUCUGCAAAGAGCAAUUAUCAAGCCCCUACUUGAAAGAUCUACUUUAAUACAUUUCAAGUUUAUCCAUUAUGUUGAUGGGGUAAGCCAUAAUCGUAAAUCUGUGUUUUUAUUAGUGUAUGUC
This 346-nucleotide long non-coding RNA is filed under the name Vulpes vulpes (red fox). RNAcentral's name for it is "lncRNA (ENSVVUG00000023039.1)". The record is from RNAcentral. Lineage: Eukaryota; Metazoa; Chordata; Mammalia; Carnivora; Canidae.